Molecule: long non-coding RNA, 1075 nt
Filed under: Piliocolobus tephrosceles (Ugandan red Colobus)
Lineage: Eukaryota; Metazoa; Chordata; Mammalia; Primates; Cercopithecidae
Description: lncRNA (ENSPTEG00000020956.1)
Source: RNAcentral
GGGUCAAGGCUUCGAACGCCUCCCAAGGAGGUGCAUCCCUGCAAGAGGCUGCAUCCAGCAGUCAUGGAAGAGGCUCCCCUGGGGCCUGCUCCAAUUCCUGCUGGGGAAAUCAAGUGGAGGUGCCCCUUGAAGAAAUGGUGAGGCCACCAAUUUCAGGGGUUCUGUCCUGGCCUGCGGCCCUGGAUCGUCCAGCCUCUGCUGGGAUGGGGAGCAGAUGACGCCCUUCUUGGCUGGAGCUGAGGGUGGGGGUCCCGCUUCCCCAAAGGCCUAGCCCUGGAUUCCAGCCACAGGUCCUACUGGGCAGCACCUGGCGCCGCCCCGCCCCUCCAGGCCUGGCACUCGCCCUUAAGAAACAUGGCGGCGAUGGCCUCACGCACCUCACGCCGCAGGCGCGUCACGCCACAGGCCAGCAAGGCUUCCUGUGUGCCACUCUCCUCCCCUCAGACUGGCUGCCAAAACAGGGAGCGGUAAGUAUGACCUGGCUGGUGGCGGUGUCCUGGGCGGCUCUGGGGCCGCUGUUGUGUGGCUGCCCGCAGGCGCUGCAGGGCGGGAUGCUGUACACCAGGGAGAGCGCGUCGCGGGAGCGCAAGGAACUCCAUGGCCUCUGAAGCUUCCAAGCCCACUUCUCCGACAACCGACGCCUGGGCUUCCAGGAGCAGAGUCGGGCCCCACCUUGGACAUACCAGUUCUCUCCAUCUUGAAUGACAUCAGCCAGGACUGGGCAUUUUGUCAGCUCGGUGUGGUAGGAACGGGAAGUGACCCUGCUGAAGCGAUGGAUCCAGGACCUGUACACAAGAGUUGUGCUGAGGAUUGGCAGUGCCCACCUCUAUGCCAUUGUGGUCGGGGUGGCCAGGAGCAGGGGAUCCGCACUGUGGCUGUCACUGAGAGCCCAUUCCUCAUCAAUGGGAAACCUUUCUAUUUCCACGGAGUCAAGAAGCAUGAGGAUGUAGACGUGCACUGCGGCUCCUGGGUCCUCGUGGGGGCUGCUUCUGGUCACCUUCCACUUUUGCCUUCCCUGUGUCCUGCAGUUCAGGCCGAUGAGGCAAAUGAGCUUCCCUGUGGCAGCUCAGGAUGA